This is a non-coding RNA of Podarcis lilfordi (Lilford's wall lizard), 74 nucleotides long. The record is from the annotation of a GenBank genome assembly. NCBI's taxonomy places the organism in Eukaryota, Metazoa, Chordata, Lepidosauria, Squamata, Lacertidae.
GGAGAACCAUAGCUCAGUGGUAGAGCAUCUACUUUGCAUGCAAAAGGUCCCGGAUUUAAUCCCCAGCAUCUCCA